UUCAUUUUAGAGCUCAAUGGACAUGUUAACAACAAACAAGUCACAGAAAAAAGAGAACUGUUGAUCUAGAAGAUUGACCUGAGGAAAUCACCCAAAGCCUAUCAACCCAGGAAGGAGCAGGAUCUGAACACCCAAUACCUGCAAGGAUGGCUUAGAAGUUGUCCAGGAUAGUGUGGCAGUCCUCAGAUGCCGAGCUGUGGAGUCUCUCCCUCAUUUGGGAAAUGACAGAGAGCCACUGUUAUUCUGAAGCAGCGACAGGAUCAGAGCUUGCUCCUGCUGAGGAAGUUGUGAGUAACAGACCACAGCCAUGACCAUCAGAAUGGGAAAGAGGGUGCAGAUGAGACUCACGUGCCUGCGGGAGAAGCAGUGCCAGGCUGCGAGGGCCCUGGAGAUACCAACGGUGUGGGCAUAGCUUCAGACCUAGGGGCGGGGCCGUCUACAGGAGCAGCGAGUCAGGAAGAUGUGUGCCAAGUCAGACAUAAUGAAUCUGAAGUGUCAGAGGAACAGAGAGGCCAAGAUGCCCACAUUUUUUCCCCUAAGUGUCCUCCAGGAGGUCUGUCACCAGAGAGGCUAUUCCAGAACAGGAACUUUACUCGGUGACUUCCUUCAAAUCAUAAAGAUACUGCGAGGAAGUGGACACAUUGGGACAGCUGUUAGUGAUUUCCUCAGAAGCCCCACCAUGCCACCACUCACCCCCAGGGCUGUCACAUGACCCAGGCUGAUCCGAGCGUAGCACCUCCUCCCACUGGCCCCAUGAUUGGUCCAAGCUGGGCAGGGGUCCUUGGCAGAGGAAUCAAAUUCCCUGGAAAUGUCUUCAAUGGAAGCUCAAAGAACAAAGGUUUUUAUCUGGAAAGAUUUGAGUCUAGAGCAUGUUCCCUGCUAUUGAACGCUGCCCAUCUUCAGAAGCAGAGAAUGAAACCAAUUUUCAGAGUCAGCAAAGAAGAGAACCUGACAGUGCUGGUGGUGAUCCAGUCCUUGAACCCAGCCAGCUCUGAGGUGAAGCUUUUCCUUGGCUGGGCUCCAUGAGCUAACAAGAGUCCCUUUUUGGAUGAAGCCAUUCAAGUUGAGUUUCUAUCACUUGCAACUUAAGGAGUCCUGAGCAGUAUCGUAUUGCCAUCUUGAUUUGACAGAGAGAGGAAAUGAUGCUCAGAGAAGUUAGCUAAAUCCCUUGUGAUCACAAGAACACAUUAGGGUACAAGCUUCGGAACCUGAGUUUGCCUGGACCCCAAAGCCAGUGUUCUUUUCUUUAUACCAUUCUGCCUCUCAACUUGUCCCACAAUUGUGAUGCUCAAGAGAAGAGGUAAAUAAGCAGGUGUGUCUGGAUCUCUGCACACUGUGCGUAAUCCUCUAGUGAAACCAUCUGUGACAUUUUUAAAUGCCCGAUGCCGUGGAAAACAGGAGAUCUGCUCAUUUUACAAAUAUUCUCCGUUCUUCUUUCAGUGAUAACUCUUCCACUUGCUCCAGCUUUACAAACAAAACACCUACUUUCAGCUUGAGAAGAACCGUCAGACAGGCUAUUUGCAGUUUGCCACUUAGAGGGAGUGUGAGAGAACUUUGUGUUUUGGGGCACAAUUCUUCACUAAGGACCGGGGUGGAGAAGGGGGAAGAUGCUCUAAAUGGGGCAGCCAUCCACCUUCCAGCUUGAGAAGAACAGGAGCUGACGCGGUUGAAGAGAGUGUGGCUGGGGAUUCAGGAUUGCAUAACAUCAUGAAACCUUCUCUCUAGAACAUUCUUGUUAGCAUGUGUUGGUUCCAGCAAAGACAACUUCUGAGCUUGUUUGUUCCAAAUUUCAGAUUCACAGAAGACAGAUACUGCUUCAUACAGGACGGAUCAGAGGACAAAUCCUAAAUUACCCACCCACGGAGGGGGCCAGGGUCACACAGAGACCGAGAAAAGAUUGAAGGAGAAAGACAGGCAGAUCUCCCUAAAUCUGCCCAGGAGCACGGAAUCCAGAGACUCAGGGCUCCAGGUCAUUGCUGGUCCUGUCCUGUUGGGAGAAUUUCUGCUGUUUAGGUAACCCCCUGGGAGUCACGUGAGUGGGAUCAUCGUGUUAGAGGCCAGGCUCCACUCACCUCACACAUGACGCCCGGAUACUUGCUGCUCUCAGGAUCUCUUUCAGCACAGGACCAGGUCAUCAGACAGGAGAAGAAGACUACAAUUCAUGUGGUGUGUUCUUGAAGAGGCCACCCCUCAUUUCUCCUCAUUACAAUCUCCACAUCUCAUGUCUUCGUUGUUAAAGAGGAGGGAGAUGGGAGGGAGGGUGUGAAGAAAAUGGUAGACAUUGCCAUCUUUUCUAGCUCACACAUCCCAUGAUUCUUGCAUUUGGUGAACCUGUCCAAAACAGCUCAGUAGGAGCCAGUGCCUCCGAUUCUCCUGGGAAAAUUGCUACCUUCAUAGGGUGCUGGAAAGCACACUGCACCAGAACCAGCCAGAUGUCUACCUGGGGAUGAAGCCACAGAAGCACCAGCAGGAAGACAGAGAGAGUGCCAUGGGACCUCUUGAAAUAUUAAUUGAGGCAUUUUCCCUUCUCAUCACUAGAACCAGACCAGACUUACUGUGCUAAGGAAGGGAAGACACAAAGGAACCCCAAGAGAACAGUUCCAUUCUUGACUUUGAGUUCCAAGAGUCUUCAAGUCAUGGUUCUCAGUUGCAAGAACCAAGCAAUAGGGUGGGAAUUGGGAAGGGGAAGAUUUCUUUGGAUUCAAAAAGCUUAGCUUUAAAUACCUGGUGCCAAACCUAGAGGAUUCAGAGCCUAGAACAGAGGUCAGCAAACUCUUCUGUAAAGGGCCAAAGUCCUCAUCUCAAUGACUCAACCCCGCCAUUGUGCAGGCAGCUCACAGACAGUAAGUAGACAAAUGAGGGAGCUGUGUUCCAAUGUAACUUCAUUCACAAAAACAGGCUUCAACCAGAUUUGCCACAUGAGCCCUAACCUAGGGUGUUUUUUGGAAACCAGAGAAUAGGAAAGAAUAAGGUCCUUUUCUCUUAUUGGUCUGGGGGCAAAGUUUUAGAAGGGAAUGGAACAGGAAAGCAAGAAAACUGAAAUGCUAGUGUAGCCUUCAUCUCUUUGCCCUCACCUGAGUGGACAAGGGAGGUGGUGAUAAAAUCCUGGAUGGGCUUGGAGAUUUUGAAACAGAGGGCCCUGUACGCAUUAUUCUUCCUAACUGUAGGAGGAAACAGUCCUAAAGAAUACCCCACAUCAUCAUAGGAUGGCCAGAGGAGAGCAGAAAAGGCAGUGUGGUGAGUUUAGCAGAGAGGGUCUGGGUCAGCCCUCCCACACCCCCAGGUCUUCCUUGCCUCCCACAGUACAAAGGGAAAAUCUGAACUUUCCACAUGCCCAAGUAGGGGUGUGGAAGGAGUCUUGGAGAGUCCUGGUCUGGUCAAGAGGAUGGCGAGGAGUGAAGAGAGCAGACCCCAUAGCAGAGCCAGCAGGUGCAAUGCACAGAGGGAAAUCAGUUUGGUCGGAGCCAAGUGGAUGUUGGUCAGCAGAAGACCUCACCUGGCUCCCAGGGAGUCCUCAAGAUUGGCCUUGCUAAAAGAAGGGACAAGUAACAUCAGUGAUGGAUGCCCGGGGAAGAGGAUCCGUGGAGCUCAGCUUCUUCCCCGGCACCAUCACAUGUGUGAUGAUAUACUAACUCCUCGGCUUAGGUUCCUGCUGGGCAAGAGGAAAGAAGAGAAAGAGGGAAUCAGAGAUUGUCUAGGGAUUGAAAUAUUAAUUGAGGCAUUUUCCCUUCUCAUCAUUAGUACCCAGAGGGACAUAGGGUCUAAACUGGAAUCACCUGGAAUUGGCAAGAUUAGGUUUUCUAUCACAGCGUGAGAAGAGGCUCUUUGAGAAUGAUCCUAAGUUCAAGUACAGGGAAACAAAGUUAUAUUUGGGAGCAUCAGACUUUGUGACUAUGAAGUUGAACUUAGCUGUUUAGGAUAAGAAGGGAGAAACCAAGGCAAGAGCAUGAAAAUGUGCGCAGGUCCCUAAGGUAGACAGUGUUUGCACCUCAGGGACACAUUCAAGUCUGUCCUGGGCUUCAGGUUACAUAGACGGUCACCUCGACCCCAUCACUGAGGCCUGAUGGAAUUUGAAGAAGGCAUAAUUUUUGAGUGGAGGAUUGCAAGGCCUCAGAGGCUAAGGUGUAGAGUCUUUCCGAAGUCUGUGGGUCCGGCUGGUCCAUACCUGCAAGUGUGUCCAGCCUGUGUAGGUGUCCUCACUUCAAACAAACAUUGACAUCUCGGGGGCAGAGACGGGGAGGCCCUGAGUGCUUAGAGUUUCCAGCAGAUUUCUUUUCACAGCUUAUGAUUCACAGGGUAAGUAAUUAUCCAGCAUCUGACACGGGGCUUGCAUGUUGCAGUUUGAAUAAAUUAAUUAGUUAAUGAAUACCUCUACCAUUUCCUCCUGGUUCAGUUAUUUGCUCAUCUUGUCAUUGUCUCAUAGCAAUUAUGCCGCACUGUAAUUAUUUGUUGAGCUCUUUGUCUCCCCAGGUGAACUCAAGAGCAAGGACUGUGCCUUUAUUAUUUUUAGCUUCUAUUUAUGCAAACAGAUAAAACGUAAAAC
This is a long non-coding RNA of Aethalodelphis obliquidens (Pacific white-sided dolphin), 4543 nucleotides long. RefSeq lists it as uncharacterized. The record is from RefSeq and is a predicted model, not a curated record. Lineage: Eukaryota; Metazoa; Chordata; Mammalia; Artiodactyla; Delphinidae. The transcript has 3 exons.